This 305-nucleotide ribosomal RNA is filed under the name uncultured bacterium. RNAcentral describes it as "bacterial SSU rRNA". It matches the Rfam family "Bacterial small subunit ribosomal RNA", at positions 337 to 653 of the family's 1533-position model. The record is from RNAcentral.
UCCUACGGGGGGCAGCAGUAGGGAAUCUUCCACAAUGGGCGAAAGCCUGAUGGAGCAACGCCGCGUGGGGGAAUGAAGGUCUUCGGAUUGUAAACCCCUGUCAUGUGGGAGCAAAUUAAAAAGAUAGUACCACAAGAGGAAGAGACGGCUAACUCUGUGCCAGCAGCCGCGGUAAUACAGAGGUCUCAAGCGUUGUUCGGAAUCACUGGGCGUAAAGCGUGCGUAGGCUGUUUCGUAAGUCGUGUGUGAAAGGCGCGGGCUCAACCCGCGGACGGCACAUGAUACUGCGAGACUAGAGUAAUGGG